GACAGAGGGUGCUAGCGUUGUUCGGAAUUACUGGGCGUAAAGGGCGCGUUAGGCGGCUCGUUUAGUCGGGUGUGAAAUCCCGGGGCUCAACCCCGGAACCUGCAUUCGAUACUGGCGGGCUAGAGACCGGAAGAGGUGGGUGGAAUACCCGAGUGUAGAGGUGAAAUUCGUAGAUAUCGGGAGGAACACCGGUGGCGAAGGCGGCGAUCUGGGUCGAUACUGACGCUGAGGUGCGAAAAGCGUGGGGAGCAACAGGG
RNAcentral lists this ribosomal RNA (257 nucleotides) under uncultured bacterium. RNAcentral's name for it is "partial 16S ribosomal RNA". It matches the Rfam family "Bacterial small subunit ribosomal RNA", at positions 524 to 776 of the family's 1533-position model. The record is from RNAcentral.